GAUGAACGCUGGCGGCGUGCCUAAUACAUGCAAGUCGAGCGGUAACACUUCGGGUGACGAGCGGCGGACGGCUGAGUAACGCGUAGGAACGUACCCCAAAGUGAGGGAUAACUCCGAGAAAUCGGGGCUAAUACCGCAUGUGAUCUUCGGAUUAAAGCUUUAUGCGCUUUGGGAACGGCCUGCGUAUGAUUAGGUUGUUGGUGAGGUAAUGGCUCACCAAGCCUACGAUCAUUAGCUGGUCUGAGAGGAUGAUCAGCCAGACUGGGACUGAGACACGGCCCAGACUCCUACGGGAGGCAGCAGUAGGGAAUUUUCCACAAUGGGCGAAAGCCCGAUGGAGCAACGCCGCGUGCAGGAUGAAGGCCUUCGGGUUGUAAACUGCUUUUGUUUGUGACGAUUAUGACGGUAACAAGCGAAUAAGGGUCUGCUAACUACGUGCCAGCCGCCGCAGUAA
Molecule: ribosomal RNA, 454 nt
Filed under: uncultured bacterium
Lineage: Bacteria
Description: partial 16S ribosomal RNA
Rfam family: Bacterial small subunit ribosomal RNA
Source: RNAcentral